RNAcentral lists this unclassified non-coding RNA (259 nucleotides) under Hevea brasiliensis (rubber tree). The record is from RNAcentral. Lineage: Eukaryota; Viridiplantae; Streptophyta; Magnoliopsida; Malpighiales; Euphorbiaceae.
UAAGAAAAAGCAUGAAUAAUAUUUCCACAAUCGGGUAAAACAGAAAGACUAUAUAUGAUUAAUUGAAGAAGAUGAUGAAGAAACAGCUGAUUCUUCAUUAAAUCUCAAUGAAAUUUACACUUCCCGAAUUGGAAACAUUAAACAGAAGAAACAAAAAAACAAAAGGAAGCUGCUAAAAAGGGAAUAAGAACCAAUCUGACUUAUAAAAUACACCACCUCCAUAUAUAGCUAGCUAGGCCUAAUCAAAACCUGUAACAGA